ACGAACGCUGGCGGCAUGCCUAAUACAUGCAAGUCGAACGAGAUCCUUCGGGGUCUAGUGGCGCACGGGUGCGUAACGCGUGGGAAUCUGCCCUUGGGUUCGGAAUAACAGUUAGAAAUGACUGCUAAUACCGGAUGAUGACGAAAGUCCAAAGAUUUAUCGCCCAGGGAUGAGCCCGCGUAGGAUUAGCUAGUUGGUGGGGUAAAGGCCUACCAAGGCGACGAUCCUUAGCUGGUCUGAGAGGAUGAUCAGCCACACUGGGACUGAGACACGGCCCAGACUCCUACGGGAGGCAGCAGUAGGGAAUAUUGGACAAUGGGCGAAAGCCUGAUCCAGCAAUGCCGCGUGAGUGAUGAAGGCCUUAGGGUUGUAAAGCUCUUUUACCCGAGAUGAUAAUGACAGUAUCGGGAGAAUAAGCUCCGGCUAACUCCGU
This 433-nucleotide ribosomal RNA is filed under the name uncultured bacterium. RNAcentral's name for it is "bacterial SSU rRNA". It matches the Rfam family "Bacterial small subunit ribosomal RNA", at positions 29 to 506 of the family's 1533-position model. The record is from RNAcentral.